RNAcentral lists this transfer RNA (54 nucleotides) under Meloidogyne chitwoodi. Its description in RNAcentral is "tRNA-Phe". Lineage: Eukaryota; Metazoa; Nematoda; Chromadorea; Rhabditida; Meloidogynidae. The record is from RNAcentral.
AAUUAAUUAGUUUAAAAAAAAUUUGGUUUUGAAGAAACUAGGAUUAUUUAAUUA